GUAGGUGGCAAGCGUUGUCCGGAAUUAUUGGGCGUAAAGCGCGCGCAGGCGGGGUCCUUUAAGUCUGAUGUGAAAGCCCACGGGCUCAACCGCGGAGGGUCAUUGGAAACUGGGGGACUUGAGUACAGAAGAGGAAAGCGGAAUUCCAAGUGUAGCGGUGAAAUGCGUAGAGAUUUGGAGGAACACCAGUGGCGAAGGCGGCUUUCUGGUCUGUAACUGACGCUGAGGCGCGAAAGCGUGGGGAGCAAACAGGAUUAGAUACCCUGGUAGUCCACGCCGUAAACGAUGAGUGCUAAGUGUUAGGGGGUUUCCGCCCCUUAGUGCUGCAGCUAACGCAUUAAGCACUCCGCCUGGGGAGUACGGCCGCAAAGGCUG
This 375-nucleotide ribosomal RNA is filed under the name uncultured organism. Its description in RNAcentral is "partial 16S ribosomal RNA". It matches the Rfam family "Bacterial small subunit ribosomal RNA", at positions 527 to 896 of the family's 1533-position model. The record is from RNAcentral.